UGCUAGAUAGCUACAUUGAAAGUCAGAGUAA
This 31-nucleotide non-coding RNA is filed under the name Mus musculus (house mouse). Lineage: Eukaryota; Metazoa; Chordata; Mammalia; Rodentia; Muridae. The record is from RNAcentral.